Molecule: transfer RNA, 77 nt
Filed under: Nostoc sp. T09
Lineage: Bacteria; Bacillati; Cyanobacteriota; Cyanophyceae; Nostocales; Nostocaceae
Description: tRNA-Leu
Source: RNAcentral
GCUCCUGUAGCCCAAUUGGAAGAGGCGAUCGCGCCAGAAGCGAUGUGUUGCUCUUUCAAAUCCUGUCAGGAGUACCA